GACGAACGCUGGCGGCGUGCUAAUACAUGCAAGUAGAACGCUGAAGGAGGAGCUUGCUCUUCUGGAUGAGUUGCGAACGGGUGAGUAACGCGUAGGUAACCUGCCUGGUAGCGGGGGAUAACUAUUGGAAACGAUAGCUAAUACCGCAUAAGAGUAGAUGUCGCAUGACAUUUGCUUAAAAGGUGCAAUUGCAUCACUACCAGAUGGACCUGCGUUGUAUUAGCUAGUUGGUGAGGUAACGGCUCACCAAGGCAACGAUACAUAGCCGACCUGAGAGGGUGAUCGGCCACACUGGGACUGAGACACGGCCCAGACUCCUACGGGAGGCAGCAGUAGGGAAUCUUCGGCAAUGGACGGAAGUCUGACCGAGCAACGCCGCGUGAGUGAAGAAGGUUUUCGGAUCGUAAAGCUCUGUUGUAAGAGAAGAACGAGUGUGAGAGUGGAAAGUUCACACUGUGACGGUAUCUUACCAGAAAGGGACGGCUAACUACGUGCCAGCAGCCGCGGUAAUACGUAGGUCCCGAGCGUUGUCCGGAUUUAUUGGGCGUAAAGCGAGCGCAGGCGGUUAGAUAAGUCUGAAGUUAAAGGCUGUGGCUUAACCAUAGUACGCUUUGGAAACUAUUUAACUUGAGUGCAAGGGGGGAGAGUGGAAUUCCAUGUGUAGCGGUGAAAUGCGUAGAUAUAUGGAGGAACACCGGUGGCGAAAGCGGCUCUCUGGCUUGUAACUGACGCUGAGGCUCGAAAGCGUGGGGAGCAAACAGG
RNAcentral lists this ribosomal RNA (762 nucleotides) under uncultured Streptococcus sp. RNAcentral's name for it is "bacterial SSU rRNA". It matches the Rfam family "Bacterial small subunit ribosomal RNA", at positions 28 to 776 of the family's 1533-position model. The record is from RNAcentral. Lineage: Bacteria; Bacillati; Bacillota; Bacilli; Lactobacillales; Streptococcaceae.